This is a non-coding RNA of Marmota flaviventris (yellow-bellied marmot), 451 nucleotides long. The record is from RefSeq and is a predicted model, not a curated record. Lineage: Eukaryota; Metazoa; Chordata; Mammalia; Rodentia; Sciuridae.
UUGGUAACUUUGCUUGUACCUCUUGAGCACAAGGUAUAGAAUUAAUAUCUGGAUUUGAGAUAGAACAUAGAAGAUUUCUCUCAGGGAAGAACUACCACUAUGCUAGCCACCAGCCUGCUGGGAGUAGCCAUUGCCUCCAUCUGUCUUGGAACGAGCAUGGCCCAGAAGGUAGCUCAAGAUCAGACUGCAAUUUCUGUGAUGGAGAAGGAGGCUGUAACUUUUAACUGACUCUUACAAUGAGCAAAACGCAACGGAGGGUCGCUAUUCCCUCAACUUCCAGAAGGCAUCCAGUUCCAUCCAGCUCACCAUCACAGCCUCACAGCUCAUGGAUGCAGCAGUGUAUUUCUGUGCCCUGGAAGAGGCCACAGUGAGAGGGCUGCCUGUGGGAGUCCCACAAAAACCUCAAGAAGAGCUAGGGCCUCUGGGGGGAGACCCCACCACAGACAGGGAG